UCUGAGUGGGGAGACUGCUGACUGUGAGGCACACCUGUUCACAGCAGGUAACCAGGACUGCAGGGGACCCUGGCCCCGUUCUCCUUGAAAAUACCUUCAAAUUUCAUGGGAAUUGGAUGAAAUGAGCAGAGAACUAGAGGAGUGUGGCGCUGCUCCACAGCACCUCCCAAGGCCGCGUGCUUCGCCCCUCUUUGCCCUGCCUGAGCUACGGGGGCUGCACCUGCAGGCUUGUCUCCUUUCCCAUCUGCUGGCGUUGCACCAAGAGAGGGCGCUACUGGAGUGACCCAGAGGCCACGGCAGCAGGAAGACUCCCGUUGUGCCAUCUGGUUCACUCGUGCUGUCAGUGGGGGUUCCCGCGGCCAUAUGAAGCCACCUCUUCCCAACGGGGCCACUUCCUUGUUGGGACUGUUUCUGAAGAGCAGCUCCAGCCUGAACCUGACGAGCCCCUUCCAUCUGUGAGACACAGGUCCCACGAAACGUCGGAGAAAGAGACCACCAAGUGACCACUCAUGCAAUUGGCAGAAGGGGAUUUAUUGAACCAGCAUGCUGGGGCUCUGUGCCCACUCAAGAAGGGAAAGCAGCCCAGAGCCCCGAGCAGGGGCUGAGCACUGCUUAAGUACACUUUUUGGGGAGGGCGGAGGGCUUUGUAUACAUCAGAACAAAUCAUCAUGAGGCGCGGGAAAAUUGAACAACAACUCCUAAACAUGAUUGGUUCAUUCAUUGGCGGGAACAGGUCAGGCUGGAGUGAUAGGUCAUUCCUAAGGAGGGGGUUACAUUUAAACUGAUUGGUCCAGGCCCUGCAAUGCCUAUGUGCGACCACACAGAGCCCUAAACAACCAAAUUGUCAGGGGAAAUAUUUACUGGGCGGUUCUAAGCAUUGUCUUAACAGCUACAGAAAUUUUGGGUUUUGCAGGUAGCAUAGAAACCUAACAAUACCUCCUUUACAUUUUAACUCAGACCUUGCAGCUUAGAAACUUUUACAACACCCGGUCUUUUACCCUUUAACUUUUACGCUUUAACUUCAAUUUCUUUUACCCUUACAUAACCACUGCAGCCCUAUAAAUGUGUGUUAAAUGAGUCUGAUAAUUAAACAGUGGAGACAUUGCCCUUAAGUAGCUAAAACAGUGGUGAUAAUUGAAGUUAUGGGAAUAUCUGGUUGUCUGAG
Molecule: long non-coding RNA, 1165 nt
Organism: Marmota monax (woodchuck)
Lineage: Eukaryota; Metazoa; Chordata; Mammalia; Rodentia; Sciuridae
Exons: 3
Source: RefSeq, a predicted model, not a curated record